GUCGACGAUGACGGUGGUGCUUGCACCACCUGAUUAGUGGCGAACGGGUGAGUAACACGUGAGUAACCUGCCCCCCACUUCGGGAUAACCUCGGGAAAUCGUGGCUAAUACCGGAUACGAGCACUCAUCGCAUGGUGGGUGCUGGAAAGAUUUAUCGGUGGGGGAUGGACUCGCGGCCUAUCAGUUUGUUGGUGAGGUGAUGGCUCACCAAGACGAUGACGGGUAGCCGGCCUGAGAGGGCGACCGGCCACACUGGGACUGAGACACGGCCCAGACUCCUACGGGAGGCAGCAGUGGGGAAUAUUGCACAAUGGGCGAAAGCCUGAUGCAGCGACGCCGCGUGGGGGAUGACGGCCUUCGGGUUGUAAACCCCUUUCAGUAGGGAAGAAGCGAGAGUGACGGUACCUGCAGAAGAAGCGCCGGCUAACUACGUGCCAGCAGCCGCGGUAAUACGUAGGGCGCAAGCGUUGUCCGGAAUUAUUGGGCGUAAAGAGCUUGUAGGUGGCUUGUCGCGUCUGCCGUGAAAACCCGAGGCUCAACCUCGGGCGUGCGGUGGGUACGGGCAGGCUAGAGUGUGGUAGGGGAGACUGGAACUCCUGGUGUAGCGGUGAAAUGCGCAGAUAUCAGGAAGAACACCGAUGGCGAAGGCAGGUCUCUGGGCCAUUACUGACACUGAGAAGCGAAAGCAUGGGUAGCGAACAGGAUUAGAUACCCUGGUAGUCCAUGCCGUAAACGUUGGGCACUAGGUGUGGGGGACA
RNAcentral lists this ribosomal RNA (758 nucleotides) under Brachybacterium paraconglomeratum. Its description in RNAcentral is "bacterial SSU rRNA". It matches the Rfam family "Bacterial small subunit ribosomal RNA", at positions 61 to 831 of the family's 1533-position model. The record is from RNAcentral. Lineage: Bacteria; Bacillati; Actinomycetota; Actinomycetes; Micrococcales; Dermabacteraceae.